AGCAGCCGCGGUAAUUCCAGCUCCAAUAGCGUAUAUUAAAGUUGUCGCAGUUAAAAAGCUCGUAGUUGAAUUUCGGGGUUCUACCGUUGGUCGGGCUUUGUCUGUACUGAUGUGUAGAAUUUCUACCUUCUGGGGAACCAUCAUGUUAUUAAUUUAGCGUGGUGGGAAACCAGGACCUUUACCUUGAAAAAAUUAGAGUGUUCAAAGCAGGCUUAUGUCUGAAUACAUUAGCAUGGAAUAAUAGAAUAGGACGGUGGUCCUGUUUUGUUGGUUUCUGAAUCACCGUAAUGAUUAAUAGGGAUAGUUGGGGGCAUUAGUAUUCAAUUGUCAGAGGUGAAAUUCUUGGAUUUAUUGAAGACUAACUACUGCGAAAGCAUUUGCCAAGGAUGUUUUCAUUAAUCAAGAACGAAAGUUAGGGGAUCGAAGACGAUCAGAUACCGUCGUAGUCUUAACCAUAAACUAUGCCGACUAGGGAUCGGAUGAUGUUAAUUUUUUAAUGACUCAUUCGGCGCCUUACGGG
RNAcentral lists this ribosomal RNA (520 nucleotides) under uncultured Scutellospora. RNAcentral's name for it is "SSU rRNA". It matches the Rfam family "Eukaryotic small subunit ribosomal RNA", at positions 569 to 1094 of the family's 1831-position model. The record is from RNAcentral. Lineage: Eukaryota; Fungi; Glomeromycota; Glomeromycetes; Diversisporales; Gigasporaceae.